GAUGAACGCUAGCUACAGGCUUAACACAUGCAAGUCGAGGGGAAACGAUAUUGGAAGCUUGCUUCCGAUAGGCGUCGACCGGCGCACGGGUGAGUAACGCGUAUCCAACCUGCCCACCACUUGGGGAUAACCUUGCGAAAGUAAGACUAAUACCCAAUGACGUCUCUAGAAGACAUCUGAAAGAGAUUAAAGAUUUAUCGGUGAUGGAUGGGGAUGCGUCUGAUUAGCUUGUUGGCGGGGUAACGGCCCACCAAGGCUACGAUCAGUAGGGGUUCUGAGAGGAAGGUCCCACACAUUGGGGCUGAGACACGGUCCAAACUCCUACGGGAGGCAGCAGUGAGGAAUAUUGGUCAAUGGGCGAGAGCCUGAACCAGCCAAGUAGCGUGCAUGAUGACGGCCCUAUGGGUUGUAAACUGCUUUUAUAAGGGAAUAAAGUGAGUCUCGUGAGACUUUUUGCAUGUACCUUAUGAAUAAGGACCGGCUAAUUCCGUGCCAGCAGCCGCCGUAA
This 508-nucleotide ribosomal RNA is filed under the name uncultured bacterium. RNAcentral describes it as "partial 16S ribosomal RNA". It matches the Rfam family "Bacterial small subunit ribosomal RNA", at positions 28 to 523 of the family's 1533-position model. The record is from RNAcentral.